RNAcentral lists this ribosomal RNA (328 nucleotides) under uncultured eukaryote. Its description in RNAcentral is "partial 18S ribosomal RNA". It matches the Rfam family "Eukaryotic small subunit ribosomal RNA", at positions 1470 to 1796 of the family's 1831-position model. The record is from RNAcentral.
CCCUUAGAUGUUCGGGGCCGCACGCGCGCUACACUGAAGGAAUCAGCACGUCUUUCUCCUUGUCCGAAAGGACUGGGUAACCCGCUGAACCUCCUUCGUGCUAGGGAUUGGGGCUUGUAAUUCUUCCCCAUGAACGAGGAAUUCCCAGUAAGCGCGAGUCAUAAGCUCGCGUUGAUUACGUCCCUGCCCUUUGUACACACCGCCCGUCGCUACUACCGAUUGGAUGGUCCGGUGAAGCCUCGGGAUUGUGGUUCUUGCCGCUUUAUUGUGGCGUGACCGCGAGAACUUGUCUAAACCUUAUCAUCUAGAGGAAGGUGAAGUCGUAACA